RNAcentral lists this transfer RNA (72 nucleotides) under Camelus bactrianus (Bactrian camel). It matches the Rfam family "tRNA". Rfam says of the family: Transfer RNA (tRNA) molecules are approximately 80 nucleotides in length. Their secondary structure includes four short double-helical elements and three loops (D, anti-codon, and T loops). Further hydrogen bonds mediate the characteristic L-shaped molecular structure. tRNAs have two regions of fundamental functional importance: the anti-codon, which is responsible for specific mRNA codon recognition, and the 3' end, to which the tRNAs corresponding amino acid is attached (by aminoacyl-tRNA synthetases). tRNAs cope with the degeneracy of the genetic code in two manners: having more than one tRNA (with a specific anti-codon) for a particular amino acid; and 'wobble' base-pairing, i.e. permitting non-standard base-pairing at the 3rd anti-codon position. The record is from Rfam by way of RNAcentral. RNAcentral also lists the same sequence under 2 other names. Lineage: Eukaryota; Metazoa; Chordata; Mammalia; Artiodactyla; Camelidae.
GGGGGUGUAGUUCAGUGGUAGAGUGCAUGCUUGACACGCACGAGGUCCUGCGUUCAAUCCCCAGUACUUCCG